RNAcentral lists this long non-coding RNA (912 nucleotides) under Manihot esculenta (cassava). RNAcentral describes it as "long non-coding RNA (MESC_LNC008134)". Lineage: Eukaryota; Viridiplantae; Streptophyta; Magnoliopsida; Malpighiales; Euphorbiaceae. The record is from RNAcentral.
CUUGCUUUCUAUGUAAUAGGAUACAAGGAUUAUAUAGUACAACAUAUGAUCAAUUAUGACUAUGAUCAUACUAUCAAUUAUAGUUUACAAUCACGUUAAGAUAAUGCUAACUAUGGUAAUAUUAACCAUUGAUUAAUUACAAUUAUGCUAGAAUAUUCUUUCCAGCAAACCCACUUGAAUUUCCCCCUAAAUCCAGUCGAUACAAUAGCAUCUCUUUCAUCUUUCACAUUUUGGUAUCUAUCAUCCAUCGGUACAUAUCCCAGAGGCUAUAGAAAAGACACUUUUCCUUCACCUUCUCUCUCAAAUGCCAAAAAACAAUGAUCGAAGACCCAUCUAAUGCCUUUCUCUGCUCGAUUGAGAGAAGCUUCCACUGCCGAUAUUGUGAAUUGCGAGAUGCUCCCUCACCGAUGAUCCUAAGGCUUGAUCGAAGACCCACGGAAAGCUCAUCCACGACCCAGCCAAGGAGAUGUGAGAGCUAGAAGAGCGGAUAAUAAAAGAUAAGGAAGUGGAAAAGACCGGAUAGGAAGAGAAAAACAGAAAGGAUUUUGGAAAAAGAAUUUGAGGAUAAUUUUGUAAUUUUUAAUACUCUCUCUCCUUUGCUGCAUAUCAAGGACAUCCCUUAAAUGCCAGGCUUAAUUAUCAUCACAAAUUCAAACCUGAAUCUUAUAGUACUUCUUUACGGUUCCAAGUUAUAACAGUUAAGUUCUAUGGACAUCUCACUUUCCUCCAUUAAAUCUUCUGGUGACAUGCAUGCAAGGCUAUUUACUGUAAGCAGCUAACAAUCUUAAAAGAUGUAAUGUAAUAUAUUGACAAGGUUCUAUGAUAUUUAGGUGGAUGUGGCAGGAAAUCUUCACUUCUAACAUGGCAAGUUCUUGUCGGAGUUGAUCAGUUUACAGGGUUUGUGUGUGGAGG